RNAcentral lists this ribosomal RNA (215 nucleotides) under uncultured bacterium. RNAcentral describes it as "partial 16S ribosomal RNA". It matches the Rfam family "Bacterial small subunit ribosomal RNA", at positions 524 to 737 of the family's 1533-position model. The record is from RNAcentral.
UACGUAGGGGGCAAGCGUUAUCCGGAAUCAUUGGGCGUAAAGCGCGUGUAGGCGGUUCCGUAAGUCCGCUCUGAAAGCCCAGGGCUCAACCCUGGGAGGCGGGUGGAUACUACGGAACUGGAGUACGGAAGAGGAGAUUGGAAUUCCUGGUGUAGCGGUGAAAUGCGCAGAUAUCAGGAGGAACACCACAGCGAAGGCAGAUCUCGUGGGGACGU